Molecule: long non-coding RNA, 3195 nt
Filed under: Anolis carolinensis (green anole)
Lineage: Eukaryota; Metazoa; Chordata; Lepidosauria; Squamata; Anolidae
Description: lncRNA (ENSACAG00000035452.1)
Source: RNAcentral
UAUUAGUAUUACUAUUAUUAUUAUUAUUAUUAUUAUUAUUAUUAUUAUUAUUAUUAUUAUUACUACUACUACUACUAUUAUAUUUUCCAACUGUUGUACUGGAACAACAAUGACUGUUUAAUUUAACUUUAACAGUUUUUGGCAGUUCUCUGUUAAAACAUUACCAAUGUCAGCUGCUUCUAAUCUAGCUAUUCUUCUCAAAGUGUCUAAUGCUUUUUUGCUUUUGCUUUUUGGUGUGUUUCUUUGCCAAGUACUUUUGCAUUUUUAUAUCGCCAUUUGUUCAGAUUUUUUUGCUUUUUGGUGUGUUUCUUUGCCAAGUACUUUUGCAUUUUUAUAUCGCCAUUUGUUCAGAUUUUUGUGUAUGUAUAUGUAUGUGUGUGUAUAUAUGUGUGUAUAUAUAUAUAUGUGUGUAUAUGUGUGUGUGUGUGUGUGUGUGUAUCUAUAUAUAUAAAAGAGUGAUGACAUCAGGGCAGCGGACAAAACAACAAAACUACAGGCCCCCAACCUCGAAAUUUGACAACACAACCCAUCAUCCAUGGCUCUAGGUUGAUACAACAAAAAGAAAAGAAAAAUAAAGUCCUAAUUAGAGGGAGAGGAAUAAUUGUUUUUAUCCAGUUGCUUCCAGUUACAAGGCUAAGUUCCACCCACUUGGUCUCCUAGCAACCCACUAAGCCCAGGGGACAGGCACAAGAGUUUGGAGAGACCCCUAAGGGCCAUCCAGCCCAACCCUUUCUACUAUGCAGCAGGACACAAUCCAAGCAUUCACAACACAUGGACAACGUAUAAAUACUAUACAAUACUACACAGGGACAUAGACCCCCUCUAUCCUCACCACUUUCACAAUACACAAACAACCAAAUGCAUACUAAACAUACAACAACCAUACAACAGACAUUUAAUACCACUACUACCUCAACAAGUUCUCACCAACACCACCAGACAACGCCACAGCAACGCGUGGCCGGGCAUAGCUAGUGUAUAUAUAUAUGGACACUUUAGCUUUGUUUUUGGUUUUUGGUUUUUUUCUCUCUUUCUCUCUUUUUGAUCCUUUUUUAAUCACAGUUUUCCUACUUUCUAUACAAGCAAAUGUUCUCACUCUUUUGAUGUUAAUUUACUCUAUCUUAUAAGGUAAAACUUCAAUAAAAAUAUACUCAAUAUAAAAAAAACAUGCAAAUAUGAGUAGAUCAAUAGGUAUCGCUCCGAUGGGAAGGUAACGGCGCUCCAUGGAGUCAUGUCGGCCACAUGGCCUUGGACAACGGCAGCUCUUUGGCUUAGAAAUGGAGAUGAGCGUCAACCCCCAGAGUUGGACGUAACUAAUGUCAGGGGAAAACCUUUACCUUAUAACUAAAAUCUUUUGUAAAUUUACUGUCAAAUUAAUUAAAUAUCGUAGAUUCUUUACAAAGGUGAGACUAAAUGUUUUUCCCUCAGAGCUGUUAAGAGGCAGACUGUCUGGAAUCCCCCACUCCCAAAGACUAUGUCCCUGUGGAGGAAAUUAAAUAGAAACAAUAGAAGACAUUUUAUUGCAGUGUUGAUAUUAUUUAGUGCAACAUACUGUGUUUCCCCGAAAAUAAGACAGUGUCUUAUAUUAAUUUUUGCUCCCAAAGAUGCACUAGGUCUUAUUUUUAGGGGAUGUCUUAUUUUUCCAUGAAGAAGAAUUCACAUUUAUUGUUGAACAAAAAAAAUGAACAUUUAUUAUAUACUGUACAGUAGUUGUCAUCACAAACCAGCAUAACCAGACAAACUGUGAAUCCUAUCAAGAAUUUCUUGUUACUAUCAUUACUUCCAUGUACAACAAUCUAUGGUACGUACAUUUACCAAUCCUGCAUGCUCUUGUGUUCUGUUUGGUGGGCAUGCUUCCAAACACAAAUUUUGCUAGGUCUUACUUUCAGGGGAGGCCUUAUAUUUAGCAAUUCAGCAAAACCUCUACUAUGUCUUCUUUUCUGGGAAUGUCUUAUUUUCGGGGAAACAGGGUAGCCAACUUUUAUAUCCGAUCCUGUCCUGCAUGACCAACCUCCCCCGCAGAGGAUUGUUAGAUAUCUUUUAGAGAAUAAGUGCUACAGAGUGAUUCUCAUAGUGGCAAAAUUCCUUGCAGUGGCAGCAAGACUGAAGAAGCAACCAACCUCUGAUAGGGAUAUCACUUGAAACCAUGUAGAUGUAUCUUAUACAGUGAGCUGGGAGUCUAUGGACCAUAAUAAAUGUUGUGUUGUUAUAACUAAAAUGUAAAAUAAAUAGAAAACAGCUCAGGAAUAGUGAGGAGAGGGAGAUAAUCCUGCCCCUUGAUGUCAUUUCACUGUUGGCACUGCUAGCACAGAAGCAGAACAGCCCCAUUGCACCAAGGUAGUUGAUGGGAAUAUUGCGAGAUCUUGAGCUAUUGCCAGGUUUUCCUGUCAAUAGCGCAGGAAAGAGGCAGUUCAGCCACAGGAGGCACACAUCUUGAGACAGGAAUGUCCAACUUCAGUGCUGAUUUGCAUGCCUCGUGCAAUAAAAUCUAUAAUGUGUUUCUUAGAGGUAGCACAACCACUAUCUAUGUUUCAAAAUAUAUUAUGACCUUUGCACAUUAAUUCAUAUUAUGAUCUUAUAAAGAAAAGUAGACUCCGUUUUAAAACAUCAUUUGAUCUCCUCACUGGACAAGUUAGUGUGUCCAUCAUACCGUUGAAGCCAACCCUCAGAUAAAUCAAGGAAGUAAAAUCAAUCCCAGUUUCUAAUCCAAUUUGCAAUAAAGAACCAAAUGAACGUUUAGAAAACUUUUGCCUGUUUCAAAAUUAAAAUCAAAAAUAAACAAACAUGAGAUAAUUAUGGGAAAUAACUUUCAGUGGAAGAUAAUGGGAGCCUCCGAUGGUGUAGUGGGUUAAAGCCUUGCGACUUGAAGGUUGGGUUACUGACCUGAAGGCUGCCAGGUUCGAAUCCCACCCGGGGAGAGCACGGAUGAGCUCCCUCUAUCAGCUCCAGCUCCAUGCGGGGACAUGAGAGAAGCCUCCCACAAGCAUGGUAAAACAUCAAAACAUCCGGGCGUUCCCUGGGCAAUGUCCUUGCAGAUGGCCAAUUCUCUCACUCCAGAAGCAACUCAGGUUGCUCCUGACACGAAAAAAAAGUGGAAGCUUAUUACCCAGCUUUCUCAAUGAGUGUAGCAUUUACAUUUUUUUAAAAAAUAUCAGUGCUUCAACCUCAUUUGUUUUUUGAAAUAAUAAUAAUGAU